Molecule: non-coding RNA, 28 nt
Filed under: Serratia fonticola
Lineage: Bacteria; Pseudomonadati; Pseudomonadota; Gammaproteobacteria; Enterobacterales; Yersiniaceae
Source: RNAcentral
GUUCACUGCCGCACAGGCAGCUUGGAAG